This 439-nucleotide ribosomal RNA is filed under the name uncultured bacterium. Its description in RNAcentral is "partial 16S ribosomal RNA". It matches the Rfam family "Bacterial small subunit ribosomal RNA", at positions 339 to 795 of the family's 1533-position model. The record is from RNAcentral.
CUACGGGAGGCAGCAGUGAGGAAUAUUGCACAAUGGGGGGAACCCUGAUGCAGCAACGCCGCGUGGAGGAUGACGCAUUUCGGUGUGUAAACUCCUUUUAUAUGUCAAGAAAAUGACGGUAGCAUAUGAAUAAGCACCGGCUAACUCCGUGCCAGCAGCCGCGGUAAUACGGAGGGUGCAAGCGUUACUCGGAAUCACUGGGCGUAAAGGACGCGUAGGCGGGUUGGAAAGUCAGGUGUGAAAUCCUACAGCUUAACUGUAGAACUGCACUUGAAACUUCUAAUCUAGAGUAUGGGAGGGGGAGAUGGAAUUAGUGGUGUAGGGGUAAAAUCCGUAGAUAUCACUAGGAAUACCUAAAGCGAAGGCGAUCUCCUGGAACAUUACUGACGCUAAGGCGUGAAAGCGUGGGGAGCAAACAGGAUUAGAUACCCGGGUAGUC